Molecule: long non-coding RNA, 852 nt
Filed under: Homo sapiens (human)
Lineage: Eukaryota; Metazoa; Chordata; Mammalia; Primates; Hominidae
Description: HSALNT0393687
Source: RNAcentral
AGCACUUCUCCUGCUGCCGCCAUGUGAAGAACGACGUGUUUGCUUCCCCUACCACCAUGAUUGUGAGUUUCCUGAGGCCUCCCCAGCCACGCUGAACUACUUUUUAUAAGCCCAUGGCCCUAAACUCUCAAGAAGGAAAUGAGUGUCCUUAGAAUGUGACCUUCCUCUCCAACUUGUCCCACACCUGCUAAGACACAGAGUGGAAGGAGCUGAAAAGCCAGAGACCCACUUAAGAUCCAGAAGCAUAAGCAGCAGUUGCAGAGAGGCACACAGACUAGCCACCCAUCUCUCAAGAAGAGUUGUUCCAAGUACAGGUUUGGAAUCUUCAGUCUGAAAACGGGGUCUUUUGAUCUCUCCCCACUUUGGUGCAGUCUGCUCCGAUUAGUGCCGAGAUUGAGACUGGAACAAACCAUGGUAGCUGUCAAUGGCACAAGGACCCCAUCUGCUCCAGACUUGACUGACCCUGGCUCUUGUACUCCCUGCCACCCACUCCUACACCCUGUCUUCCCUCCUUCUCCAAUGACAAGAGAUAUUCAUUGAAACAACCUUGCUCCCAUUUCUCUAUCUGCAGCAGGGCUGAAUUGAAAUUUCUUAUGUCCAAAUGCCCAUUCUCUGAAUAAAAAAAUAUUUUGAAACCAGACUUUCUAAUCAACAGAUACUAAUACGCUAUACAGUGAAUAGCAUGUCUUUAUUCUAUUUACAGUAUAUUUGUUAUAAAUAUAAUACAUUUUUGAAAAGCUUAUUUUUAAUUAACUUGAGAUUUAUAUUUUAAACAGAUCAACUCAAUAGUUAACGUUAUAUAAUAAAGAAUAUGGUAAUUUUAAUGACAAAAAUCGUAUUGUGAAAUAGCGC